CAGGAGCAGCAGCAGCGCGGCCAGCAACGCCGCCAGAAAGAACCAGGGCAUGGCUGGGACGGGACGAAGACCGAGCGCCUGGCUGCAGGAAGCCAGGCAGAGAUGCUGAUGGAAACAUGUCACAAGAGGACUCUUCGUGAUGGAGACAGAUACAGAGGAAGCCAAUGAAAAGGAGAUGGGCCUCUGGGUCCCCGAGGAUUAGCUGAAGCUACGGAGAUGUGCACCCAAGAAUGUUUGGUGUUGGGUCACUCUGAUAACUGCUGGAUGCCUCCUGGCCUGGGUCCCUACCAACAGCCAAAAUCUCCUCUCUCCACCUUUGCCCCUCAAAAGGAAUGGGUGAAGAAGGACAAAAUGGUGAAUGGGCACACUUUGACCAGGACCUGGAAAGAUAGCAACAGGAAUCAGUUCAAUGACUGGAAGCAGUAUGGUACCAACGAAGGGCACUUCAACAGUGGCAGCCACAUGAGUGACAUACCAUUGGCUAAUUUGAAGUCUUAUAAACAGGCGUCAGGAGCUGUGGAGAGUCCCAAGGAACACCAGCGAUAAGAAAUGGCUUGGGACCAAAUGACUUUAGCCUAUGUAGACUUGCUAAUACUGUGUGUGUCAGAGCUUUAUGUAUUUGGUAGAUUUCUAGAACUAUGCUUCUUAUAACAGGGAUAUGCACAUCUUUGCAUUAGCACUAUGAAAGUUAUGAUGUCAUGCGACUUAAGGGAGAAAAUACUUCUACUUCUGUGGUUUUAGUUACCAAAAUUGAGUAAAUUCCACAGCUCGCUCUCUCUCUCUCUCUCUCUCUCUCUAGUGCAAAUAUCCCUUCUCGAGUUUUGUUUUUUGACCCUGGACUGCUGCUAUGAACAACAGAAGAUACACUUGGAGAGUGAGAGGUCAAAGAAUUGCAAUGAUUGAAAAGCAUAUCCAAUUAGAAAACUGUGCUCUUGUUGUCAUUGAUUUGUGCUGGGACCACUAUACUUGACAUCAUACUUCAAGCAACUUAAAUGAUAAACUUAAACCUAUUGUGCUAUUAACAAUGUUAGUGGGCACUUGUCAGUCAGUCAGUGUUUAAGUAUUUGUAAAUAGAAGCAAGUUAUUACUAAUGACUUUUGUGUACCUAUAAUGUUCACCUAAAAUAUAUUGUAGCAGAAUUCUAUGUCUUAUCGUUGUUUCUUUUUUGUUUCUUUUACUUUUUAGCUUAUUUCUUUUAGUGAUGGUGUUUCUGUGUUAAUAGUCUGUCUGACAUACACUGUUCCAAGAAAAUCAAAAUACUUGUGUUUUUCUUAUAAAAAGGUUCUGAAAUCUUGCUUCUUGCAUGACAGCAGGUGUUAUUCAUGAGCUGGCAAAGAAACCCAUCAACAAUGUUUGAACAACAAAAAGACUUAUGCAAAGGCUGGAAAACUCUGAAACUAUACUUUAUAAAAACAUUUUAUUUUUCAAAGCAGCAAAAUUGAAAAUAAUCUCUAAUAAGUAGCAUCUAAAAAGUAAGAAAUGGAAAAGUAAUAUUCUCCAGGAAGUGAUCCAAUCCAAAGUGAUCAGAAAGGUCGUUGUCAUUCAGGCAAUUGAAUGAAUCACAAUUGGAGCACGUGGAAGAAAUAAAAUCAUAAUUUUAAAAUAGUAGUUAUGUUUGAACAAAUGUGUGUCUAUAACUAAGACCGUUUGUAUUGCUGAAAAGGCAGCUUUUGUGUUUAUGCUCAUCUGCGUUAAUGUUGUAGUAAAAUGUGUUUUAGACCAUAGUCACAAAAUAUUUAAUGUGUCUUGCCUUCAUGAUGUAACAGAGCAUUCUCCUGGUAGGCUAGUUGGGGGAAAAUAAAGGGUUAAAUCUCUAAUUAUUGCUGUUUAACUGUUUGUUAUCAUAGUUGGUCAAUGCCUGGAAGGUACCAGCAUCACGUCACUUAAGUGAAACCCAAAGAGUGACUCCUAAUGUUAAUAAGAUCUCAGUUGCACGUACAAAUAAAUUCAAAUUCGAACAUUCUUAGGAGGUUUUUGUUAAGGCAUGACAGAUGACUUAAACAAAUAAAUAGCAUGCAAAAAAAAAAAAAGUCCUUACUGAGAAAA
Long non-coding RNA from Sarcophilus harrisii (Tasmanian devil), 2046 nucleotides. RefSeq lists it as uncharacterized. The transcript is spliced from 2 exons. NCBI's taxonomy places the organism in Eukaryota, Metazoa, Chordata, Mammalia, Dasyuromorphia, Dasyuridae. The record is from RefSeq and is a predicted model, not a curated record.